AAGCAGGAGGUGUCAGAAAAGUUACCACAGGGAUAACUUGCUUGUGGCAGCCAAGUGUUCGUAGCAACAAUGCUUUUUGAUCCUUUGA
MicroRNA precursor from Choloepus hoffmanni (Hoffmann's two-fingered sloth), 88 nucleotides. The record is from Ensembl. NCBI's taxonomy places the organism in Eukaryota, Metazoa, Chordata, Mammalia, Pilosa, Megalonychidae.